UACCCAGACUCCUACGGGAGGCAGCAGUGGGGGAUAUUGGACAAUGGGGGAAACCCUGAUCCAGCGACGCCGCGUGAGUGAAGAAGUAUUUCGGUAUGUAAAGCUCUAUCAGCAGGGAAGAAAGAAAUGACGGUACCUGAGUAAGAAGCCCCGGCUAACUACGUGCCAGCAGCCGCGGUAAUACGGAGGAUGCGAGCGUUAUCCGGAUUUAUUGGGUUUAAAGGGUGCGCAGGCGGAGGUGCAAGUCAGUGGUCAAAUUGCGGGGCUCAACCCCGUACUGCCGUUGAAACUGCAUCCCUUGAGUGCGCGAGAAGUAUGCGGAAUGCGUGGUGUAGCGGUGAAAUGCAUAGAUAUCACGCAGAACUCCGAUUGCGAGGGCAGCAUACCGGCGCUCAACUGACGCUCAUGCACGAAAGUGUGGGUAUCGAACAGGAUUAGAUACCCUGGUAGAG
Molecule: ribosomal RNA, 452 nt
Filed under: uncultured bacterium
Lineage: Bacteria
Description: bacterial SSU rRNA
Rfam family: Bacterial small subunit ribosomal RNA
Source: RNAcentral